RNA transcript from Cavia porcellus (domestic guinea pig), 12388 nucleotides. It is a transcript of the gene named aminopeptidase O (putative), with no coding region annotated. Lineage: Eukaryota; Metazoa; Chordata; Mammalia; Rodentia; Caviidae. The transcript has 16 exons. The record is from RefSeq and is a predicted model, not a curated record.
AGGGCGCGCGUGGAUGACGUCACUAGGCGCGUGCCUGGUAGCCCGUAGUAACCCGGAGUCCGCGGAAGUGGAGACCUGUGGGCAGUCUGCUAAGACAGGGGACUGAAAAUUGUGAAACACAACACAGUGACAUCAGUUUUGUUUAUUUCUUGUUAGUAGCCACUUAACAAUUGUGGAAGAUUAAAGGCAGAGACAAAGCUUCAUCUGAGAUUUUAGCAAAGCUCUUCCACAGCAAACGGCACCAUGGACAUAAAGCUGGACCCUGCCCGAGAUGAUCUGCCUCUUAUGGCCAACACCAGCCACAUACUGGUGAAGCAUUAUGUACUGGAUUUAGAUGUGAAUUUCGAAAGUCGCGUUAUCGAGGGCACCAUAGUGCUUUUCUUUGAGGAUGGAAACAGAUUCAAGCCGCAGACUGGCUCUACCAAGGAAACCUGCCAGUUGGCAUCAAAGGAAGCCUGCAAAUCUGGGACACCUGAGCUCUGCCAUCUUCCUGUGCCAAAUGCAAGGACCACAUUUAAUGUGGGAUAUAAUGAUUUUAUAAUCUGUGAUAAAGGUGAGGAAGAUACAUCUGAUAAAGAUGGUAACCAUGACAACCAGGAACAGGCUCCUGGGAUCUCUAGCUCAAAGUACUGCUGUGACACAGAGAAUCAUGGGAGAGAGGAUUUUUUGGUGGUGCUGGACUGCUGUGAUUUAUCUGUGUUAAAGGUCGAGGAGGUGGAUGUGGCCGCUGUGCAAGGUAUUGAAAAAUUUACAAGGUCUUCCAAGCUGACAGUUGUUUCUAAAGAGCUCCGGAAUGAGAUUGUUCAUGAACUUGUGACUCUGCCUGCAGAUCAUUGGAGGGAGCAGUUAGACUAUUUUGCUCGCUGCAGCCAGGCUCCUAGCUGCGGAGAACUCUUCUUUGACACUGACGCGUGGAGCUUACAGAUCAAGAAGACAGGGGCUCAGACAGCUACUGACUUUCCUCAUGCCAUCAGGAUAUAUUACAAAACCAGACCCGAGGGACAGUCAGUUACGUGGACCUCAGACCAGAGUGGCAGGCCAUGUGUUUAUACGAUGGGAUCUCCCAUAAACAACAGGGCCCUCUUUCCAUGCCAGGAGCCACCCGUUGCCAUGUCAACAUGGCAGGCCACAGUUCGAGCAGCUGCAUCUUUUGUUGUUUUAAUGAGUGGGGAAAAUUCUGCCAAGCCAACACAGCUUCACGAAGGGUGCUCAAGCUGGCAUUAUUAUGUGACCAUGCCGAUGCCAGCCUCCACCUUUGCCAUUGCGGUGGGAUGCUGGACAGAAGUAAAGCCUGAGGCGUGCUCCUCCGGUGACCCGGCCAUGGAGAGACCCUUCCCACCCCCCGAGACCGAUUGCAGGUGUGUCGGUGGCUGCGGUCACACCGAGUACCCCUGCCGCUUCCAGGACGCCGUGGCCACCACCCAGGAGACCAUCCCGCACCGCGUCUUCGCCCCCGGCUGCCUGGAGGGAGUCUGCCAGGAGACCCUGGUGCGGCUGCUGCCUGCCUGCCUCCUCGCCGCACACGCGGUCCUAGGCACCCACCCCUUCUCCCGCCUGGACGUACUCGUGGUCCCUGCUAACUUUUCGAGUCUGGGGAUGGCCAGCCCACACAUCAUCUUCCUCUCCCAGAGCACCUUGACAGGCAGGAGCCAUCUCUGCGGGACCCGGCUCUGCCACGAAAUUGCUCACGCCUGGUUCGGCCUGGCCAUUGGCGCCCGGGACUGGACGGAGGAGUGGCUCAGUGAAGGGUUUGCCACUCACCUGGAAGACGUACUGUGGGCCCAAGCGCAGCAGCUGGCCCCCCACGAGGCCUGGGAACAGCAAGAGCUGAGAGCUUGCCUGCGCUGGCACCGCCUCCAGGACGAGCUGCGGAACUCCCCCGAGGAGAUGCAGGUGUUAAGACCCAGUAAAGAGAGAACUGGCCAUGUGAGUGACUCAGGGGCCUCUGUCGUCAAACAUGGGCUCAGUCCAGAGAAGCCCUUCAUGCAGGUUCAUUAUUUAAAGGGCUACUUCCUCCUUCGGUUCCUUGCCAGAAGACUUGGGCAGGAAACCUAUUUUUCGUGUUUAAGAAAAUUCGUGCACAAGUUUCAUGGGCAGCUGAUUCUUUCCCAGGAUUUUCUUCAAAUGCUGUUGGAGAGCAUCCCAGAAGAAAAAAGGCUGGAGCUGUCUGUUGAAAACAUCUUCCAAGACUGGCUUGAGAGCUCCGGAAUCCCAAAGCCGCUGCAGGGGGCGCGCCCGGCCGGGGCGGACUGCGGACUGGUGCGGCGGGUGGACGCAGAGGUCACCAGAUGGAUGCAGCUAGACCGGAGACCCCGAAAGCGGAGGCGCAGGCAGGAGGAGGAAGAGGAGGAGGUGGUGUCUGAGAAGAAAUAUCCUCCCCCGCAAGUGGAGAGCCAGGUAGCGGAAGGUGUUGACCAAGGAGGAGUGUCUCUGUCUCUGUCUCUGUCUCUCUGCUUCCAGACCAGCUGGUCUUGCUUUUGGAACGUCUCUUGGAGGAGAAGACCCUGACUCAUCCAACCCUGCAGGCCCUCCAGAGGACGUACCAUCUCCAUGAGCAGGACGCAGAGAUCGCGUCAGCUGGAUCGCAGCUGCCACCGUAGUGAGGUGAGGAUCCCGGAACUGGCUCUGUGAUGUCCUCUGCCCACGAACCUCACAGCGGACCUUCAUACAGCUUUCCUGCUGCGGACCAUAAUGGAGCAUGGCAGACCAGGGCUCGCCUCUGGCAGCAGCCUCUCCCAGCCUCCUCCUUUCUGAAGUUAGAAAGCCAUGACUCGCGUCUCACCUGGCUUCGGUGGCUGAGGCCUGCUCUGAUGUUUCAGUGGCUGUGCUUUUGCCAGAAAAUUAAUUUGUGCGAAAGGUCAUCAGCACUCUCAUCUGUCUCCUCACAGAGGUGGGAGAAAUCCUGUUGGUUGUAAAGCAGGGCCCUUCUGGAUUAGAUGGAGCAAAAAAGUGUGGGUGCCACUUGCGCAGUGUGGGUGUGGUCACCGGGCUGGCCACCUGUGGAGGGAAGGGAGGGCCCCUACUCACUCGGGGUAUGUGGACUUCAUUUUUCGAUAACUCUUGAACCUGCAGGCCCAGGAUCUGCUGCUGGCUGAGGCCGAGACUCAGCAGUGAGCUGUGUUGAAGUCCAGGGCCCCAGCCCAGUGGGGGCCCCAGCCAGGUCAUCCUCUCUCCAUGGCUUCAUUGUAUUCAUCAACAGGGCAGUGCUGUGACCAUAGCAGUAGCUUUUGGGGGUUUGUUUUAUAUCACAGCCAACUGGGAAAACAUCAUGAAACUGUCUUUACUCCAUUUUCUGUUUUGUCUUUCUUCAUUUUCUAUUAAAAAUGUAUGUCAUAUAUUAAGUUAAUUUUAUGAUCUGCUAAUGGUUCAUAGCCUGCAGUUUGAAAAAUGCUAGGUAGAGUGGUUUUGGGUUUUCACCAACUCUGGGGAAUUUGGGGUUAGGGAUGCUGAGUCUUCAUUUCCUCAAAAUGAAAUGAAGCCUUGACUAUUUUCAUAGGAGUGUGAAUGGCUUAAGACAAGAGAACUCAGUGACUACUAAGCAGAUGCGGGGCUCAGUUUCUAGAGGUGAAUUCUGGCACUCUCAUUACUUAGAGGCCACACAGCUGUCCUGUUGGGUUCUUCAUGAUUCAUUACCAAGCCACCUGGCCCCUGGUUCAGUGGGAUCUGGUUUUACUGGGGUAGGGGCAGGCCUGCUGUAAAUGAGGCAUUUCCAGCCCAAGCACCUCUGAUGUUGUGCUUGGACCGGAUGGUGGGUACUUUCUUUUUAGCAGGAGACUGUGCUUGGCAUUGUGGGAUGUUAGCAUCCCUGGCUUCUGUCCAUGAGGUGCCAGUAGCCACUCCUUUCUUUUCCCCCAAUGUGGCCCUCACGCCGCCUGUCCCCAAGUGCGGCCCAGUGUCCCCAGCAGAAGUACUCUGGUUAGGAACCAGUGCUUUAAGACAGGGGCUGGCUCAAGGGAUAGUUUUCAAAACCUUGUUUUAAAUGAUUAGUGAAAGUUGGCUGCAGUACAGAGUGGGGUGAUGGGAAAGAUGGCUGACAAUGUUUAGAGGUGGCCCCAAGCCUGCUCUCUUUCCUCCUGAGGUCCCAGGGUAUGUCACCUUGGGAGAGGUGAAAAUAGGCUUUUGCUUGGAAGAAAAGGCAGUGCCAUUUAGAGUAGCAGCAGUGAGUCACAGGUUGGUAAGAAAAGACCAACCUGUUCUGCCACAAGCCUCUGCCAGCGUCCGUAGAGUCCUCUGAAGUCACUUUCAAGGUCAACUGCGGCUAGGCAAACUCUCUGCCAGCCACACAGCCUUGGCGGGCCUUGUGCCCUGGGUCCCUGCCCACUCGGUCCCCAGUUUUCCGAGGCAGGCAGGGGAGCUCUCUUAUAGCAGGACCUGAGGGGCGGAGGUGGAGGCUGCACCCCCGCAGGUGCUGGUCCCUGAGCCGUGAGGCUCACUCUGGAGUUGCAUCUGGGCCACAAGCAUUGUUUCUGAGAACCGACCACUUGGCCACUCUUGGCCUAUUGAGAGGAGGUGGGCAGUUCUUGAACUGAGUGCUGGGCAUGAUCCUGCUUAUGCCUUUGAACGCAGAGACCCUGUGCCCUCUCUCGGAGACUUGGGGUGCUCCAGAGAGUCUCAGCUCCUGGCUCUCCUCUUCUUACUCUUGUCCUAGUCUGGUCACACAUAGGACAUUUCUGUUUUGGUUCCUUGCACAGUGGUUGGAGGAAAGGCCAGAUGUGCUUUCUUCGGGUGCUCCAGCCGUUUCAGGGUGCUUGAUGAUGGAAUGCAGGGUGCUAGCCUGGGCUCCGGUCCCGUCACCCCUUGCACAGAAUCCACGGACAUACUGAAUGAGGCAAGAACAGUGGCUCAGGCCCUGUGAUCCCAGGGUGCGUGGGCUCAGGCCCCUGCUGUGCCUCCCCUGCUGCAGUCCUGGGUGUGGGACCAAGGCUUCUCUCUUGGGGACUGUCCUGGGUCACCUAGGCUUCUGAGCAGGAACAGUGCAGUGCUCGGAGGCCCGCAGCUGGUGCCUGCUUCCUCUCCCCCUUGCUCUGCAGGUGCCCCAGGGGCCUCAUUACCCAGCCUGCCAGCUCACUGGGUCAUCACCCAGCAUUGUCAGGAGGCACCAUCAUGGAACGGAACCCCACAAGGCAGGUUUUCAGGCUGAACAUGAAAAGGAGACCAUUGUGGAGGGCGGAAAGUUGAGUGGCAAUUAGCGAAGUGUUCUUCCGGGAUGAAAUGGGGCAGGUCUCACAGGGUGGGGGGCUCCUCAGGGGCAAGUCAGCUCACAGACACAGGCCCAGGCCAUUUGUCACUCAGAGUCACAGGUACAAAGGGUUGGCCCAGCUCGGGUUUCGGAUCGAGGGGCCAAAUGCUGCUGAGUCUGUGCUUCAGGCUUCGCCAGUCUCUGAAGCUGGGAGGAUGCUGGCACUGUGAUUCUUUUCCAAGUGCUAAAGGCCAGGCCGUGCAGAUGAAAAGGAAGGCCUGGGGUGUCUGCUUUAAGCUGUAUCUUUUUAAACAAGCGUAAACUUUUUAGAUUACUACUAUCUGGUUAUUUCUGAGGAUAGGGACUGCGAGUUAUUAGCCAUGAAUUCCUACAGCCUGCUUUGGAUGGGUCAGGGUUAAAUGGAUGAGGAUGGAAAAAGCCACAGGCAACAAACCUGCUUUUCUUUCCUUUUUUUGUCUUUUUGAGACAAGGUCUUACUAUGUUGUUCAGGCCAGCUUGAGCUCACUAUGUAGAGUGGAAGGUUGGCCUCGAACUUGCAGUGGUCCUCCUGUCUCAGCCUUCUGAGUUCUGGGAUUACAAGAACUUUGUAAAUGUGCUUCUAAUCUAGUCCACCAGACUAUUAGAAAAGUUUCUGUUCUUGUUAUCGGCCACUUAAUGUUUCCACUGCUUGCUUCUUCCUAUGUAUUUAGCAGCUGGUUCAGUUUUAUAGAUAGCUGAAGAUUUAAGGGUAUCGUCUGUUCUUGCUAUUCUUGUAGGUACGCCCCCCCCCCCUCCACUGUAAAGAGUUCUUCAAAAAUUUGGGAUUCUUGGGGUCUAAGUAGAAGUUGCCCUAUUUUCUUCUGGUGUACCCAAGAAACCAGCUACAUCUUUAGGUCACUUUAUUUCUAAAGGCCUCUAGAGAAAUCAAGACCUGGAGUUUUAUCGGUGCUUCUAGGUUUGUUAGUUUAUGUAUUUUUGUAGUAGGGUUUUGUUCUGUGAUCCACACCAAAAAUCUUCACAAUUAACUUCAAACACUGUGUGUCCUUUCAUAUUCGUAAGGUGAAUCGUAUUUUUAACAGUUCGGAUCUGAAAUGAUUCCCCAGAGCCGCCUGCGUUUGGAAGGUGGCUGGAUUAUGGCAGCAGGGUGGCUGGCUGGCUGUUAGGAGGAGUCGUGGUCAGAGACCUGGAAGUGUCUCCCCAUCCAUCCCUCUCUCUCUCCGUUACCUGGCCCCCGUGAGGAAACCUUCGCUCUGCUCCUCUGCCUUGCUGUCCUGCCUCGGAGCCAGCUGCCUCUGGAUUAAAACUGUGAGCUGAGCAACCCUCUUCUACUUUCGUCAGGUAUUGUGUCCCAGAGAGGGGAAAGUGGCUGAGACAAUAUGCAGAUGGAAGGCGUCUUCCCGUGCACCUCUGUGCCCUGUGAAGCAGCCUUGGAGUGCCCAGCACGCUGGGGGGCCUCAGGCUGUGGGUCCUGCACAGUGUGGAUGGAAGGUGAGCUCUGCCUGUGCCUGUGGGCAGUGCCCAGGGGCUGCUGACCCUAGUGUUUUGUUCAUUUGGCAGGGUAUGGAACCAAGACGGGAACACAUGGUCUAAACAUGGAGGUGGUGCCAAAACAGGGUCUUUAGGCUAUGCACUUUGCACAUCCCUCUUGCCACAACCUCAGACCAUGUGGCACCGUGUUCCUCAGGCCAGCUGGUCUUACCUGUCUGUGGGUGGAAGCAGUUGUCAGGUGGAGCAUGGGAAGUCCCCAAGCACAGGAGACCGGCCAGUAGUUGGCUGCGCGUUCCUGAGACUUUCCCUGCUGCUCCGCCCUGGGGACCCAGGCAGCUUCUCCUGCCCCAGCUUGGCUUGGCUAUGGCUCAUCCAAAGGCUGAUGAUGGCGAUUGUUUGUAAAGAUGUUUUUGAAAAUGGAAUUCACGAACACCAUGUAAUUCACCCAUUCCACGCGCACGGUUCAGUGGCUCUAUGUGUAUUCAGAGUUGCACAACCAUCACCACAGCCGGUCGUAGAGCGUUUUCGUCAUCCCAUAAGGAAACCCAGCUCGCCUUAGCUGGCGUCCCUACCUCCCCCACCACCAGUCCUGAGCAGGCACUGGCUCUCUGUCUCCAUGUGUCACUCAGCAGAGUCACCAGCAGCCUGGGUCCCACAUCCCCUGUAGCCUGGUGUCCCAGGGACCAGCCACGUUUGGAGCGCACGUUGGUCUUCCGCUGGGCUUUUCUGUUGUUAUUUUUGUGUUGGGCUUCGAAUCCCUAUCACUGAGCUCUACCCUCAGCUCCUUUACCCUUUUUGUUUUGAAAUAUUUUCAUUGUCCUGGAUGCACUGCACUGGUGUAUCUGUUUAUCACCCAGUGGACACUCGGGUUUUUGUACUCUUUAGUACGAAUACUGCUGUGUUAACAGUUGUGUACAGGUUCUUGUGUAGACGCAUUCCUUGAACUCCGGUUCAUGAGAGCUGCUGAGCUCUUCCCAAGGUGCUGCUCGUUCUGCCUUCUCCCCAGCAGUACUCGGGGUUCUGGUCUUUCCGCCCUUGCUGUGUAUCAUUUCAGGCAUCUCAGUAGCUACGGGAUGGCGUCUCAUUCCGUUUUCACUGCCCUUCCUUGUUGGCUGUUAGUAUGGCGCCCUUUCCUUGGGGACCAUCUGUGCAUCUUACUUGGAGAACUAGCUAGACAGCCUUUGGCUCCUUUGAAAAUUGCCUCAUUAAAAAAAAAAACUACUGAGUUAAAAGUACUGUAUAUAGUCUGGAUAAAAAUCCUUCAUCAAAUAUAAUUUGCAAAAGCAUCCUUGGUGUUAUCUUUUCAUUUUCUUGAUGAUGUUCUUUGAAGAGCAAAAGUUCUGACUUGUGAAGUCCAGUUUAUCCAUUUUCUGUCUUGCUGCUUGUGCUUUCGGUGCCAAAUGUAAGAAACUGUCGCCUGACCCGACACAGUGGGGAUUCCAUGCCUGUUUCUUUCUAAGAGUUUGCAGUUUAGCUCCUAUAGUUCAGAGCUUAGGGUGCCCCCAGCUGUAUUUGAAACUGUUUACGAAAGCAAACUGUUCCUUAGCCCACGUGUUCCUGCUCUGUAGUUUUUGGACACGGGUCAGUGACAGACCCUGGAGCUCCAUCCACAGCUGUCCACAGGGUCACCCACCCCACAGCUCACGGCAUCGGGUCUCCCAUGGCCUCCCUUGGCACUCGCCACCUACAUGUGCAUCUUGCUGGGUUGGUCUCUGACUCUGCCGAGCUCCAGGCAGCAGGGCCACGUCUGUCCUUUCACUUUGCCCUCAGUAUGCAGUGCACAACGUGGGAGGGUGACUGCCCCAGGGUCUCUGGUCUGGCACCAGGUGGUGGGAGUGACCUAACCCAGGAGUAUGUGUCCUGUGGGGUGGGCAGUGUGCCCUUCUACAGACCCGGUGAGGCCUUCAAGCACAGUCUACCUCUGGUGACACAGAGGUCCUAUUUUGGGCAGUGGCCACAUAUACUGUCACAAAGAAAGGGGAAGGUGUUUCCUGGUUUCAGGAUUGCAUGGCACGCCAGCCAGUAAGUGGGCGUGGCAGGAGGAAGUGGGCCAUGCAGACCCCACUGGCCUCUGAGUUCCCGGUUUGGGCCUUAAUAGCCGUGGUUAUACAAGAACAUUUGUCUAGGGCAAGGGUCUGCCUGCGCCAACCCAAGUGAAGCACUGAUGCUUGCUUGGUCAUUGGUGGGCACUCUCGCCCUCACCACGUCCUCUGUGUGCACGUCAAGUGCAGUGGCCCUGGCAAUGAGGGUGACCCGUCCUGAGCUGCUGCAGCUCUCCUUCCUGGUUCAGGCUCCCGUGGGAGAGGGCACAGGCACAGUGGAGCCUCGGUGGCCCUUGGCCUGCCAAGUUACCCCCUCCGCUGACCUCAAAGCCUGGAGCAAAGCAGUGUUUCAGGCCCUCUGCUCUCAGAUAGCGCUCGGGUCAUGGCCCUGUGGGAGUGAGGAGCAGCCGGGGAGAGUGGACUGUGAAAUCAGCGCAGAGAUGCCCGUGGGCCUGGUGGGAGCGGCGGCAGAUGUGCCCUGGCCUUCCUCACGGGGACCCCCGGGUGGACGCACCCAGCUGCGGGGGCCUGGGAAUGGCAUCUGCCCGUGGCCACUCCACCCCGCUGUCCCGCUUCACAGCAGGAAACUUAACUUUAAAGCUGAGUAAACCAAAUUUAAGGACACAAAUUGAGAAAGCAGGGUUGUUUAUUGCAGUGCAGCCUCACUGACUUCCCAAAGCCAUGCGGCCUCGUCUUUCUGUUUACAGAUACAAAUGGAACCCUAAAUGAGGUUUACUGGGCUCCCCAGACAGUGUUCCCGGGACAGAGUUUUUCCCCUCAGCAGUAAACUUCAAAAUCAAAAGAACUGGAAAGAAAGGGGAUGCUUCCUGUCAUAAAUAGGGUGGGUGGCGUUCUUUAGAGCAUUUUAUAGGUUCCAACUGUGCAUUAUAAUUUCAGCGUACCCAAGAGCAUUCCAGGCUUGCAGAAGGGCCACAACCUUCGGGAAGCACACGCCCAGCGCUCACCAUGUGCUGUGUGCUGCUCCCCGGCCUACAUGACAGCAGAGAUGACACUUCAGUGACUGUCGGUGCCAUUUGGGAUCAUGGGCAGCAGCAGAUGCCAUGCCACCAGUCAGCAGCCAGGACAAGGCAGGCCACUGAAGCAGGCUACAUUUGGCGGGGCCAUGGCCGUGCCAUCUAGUGUCGAAACAGCCGUCUCUUCCCUGCGGCCAGGCCGCAGCCCUCCUGGUACAAGGCCGGACCCUGAGGAUGACCUUUGCUUCCUGGAGGCAUCAGGAAAUCAAUUUGAAGAUUUAAAUUGGUCUUUAUGCACUGGGGUUCCUGGUGAGACUUCAUGAGAAGGACUGUACUAUAGGAAGGUUUGAAGACCACUUUAGAAAGUCUCGGGGCUGGAGAUUUAGCUCAGCGGCAUAAGCGCCUGCCUUGCAAGCAGGCAGUCAUGAGUUCUAUCCCCGGUACCGAUAAAAAGGAAAAAGACAAAAAAAAAAAAAGAAAGUCUCUAAGGCACUAAGUAAGUUAGAUGUGGUGGUUCAGGCCUGUAAUCACAGCAGCCUGAGGAGGCUGAGGCAGGAGGACCACGAUUUCAAGACCAGCCUGGGCAACUUUCUGAUCUCAGCCCAGGUCGGUGCAGCCCAGGUGCAGCCCUGCCUGUCUUUGUAAGUAAUGUUUAUCCAAAGACUCGCUUUCCUCUCUGCUGUCUAGGGCCUAAGGGCCCUUAUUAGAAAAAAUUGUUCACUGCUGUUGCGGAGUUUAAUGGCUCCUGGUUCCAGCACAUGGAUCCGUCUUGGGUUGAGCAAAGGUGGGGUACGGGCUUUUGUUUUGUCGCUUUUCUGUUUCCAGAGGAAAUGGGCGCAAGGGAGGAACGUAUCCUGACAAAGGUUGUUCUUUGCAGGGUGCCUGCCGGGCUAUGACUGUGUCUGGACUCAGUCUGGCUUAGGGCUGUAGACAGCCUCUAGCGAGGCAGCACUGUGGAUACCCCUGCUGGAGAUCAGAGGGCAGCUCCUGUUUUAGGGUCUCCAGCCACGAGGCCUUGGUGGGGGUGGUAAUGACUAUCAGCUGGGCCAAUGCAGGGAGCCUGGCACAACAAAUGAUUAGUGAAGUUUCCACCCUGCCCAAGGCCUCGGCCUGCCCCUCCUGUGCCAGGAACCUCAGGCUCAGCCCAGGUGCCGCCUCACUAGGUGAUUCCCAGCCUCCCUUGCACCCCUUGGAGCCUCCUGACCAUGGCACAGUCACAGCCCCUGCUUGUCUCAUUGACACUGCCUGUCACCUCACUGGGUACCAGACAUCUCCUUGGAGUUCGUAUGGAUCAGUGAGUAAUAGGGCACCAAAGUAAAAGAGCAAGCCAGAGCAGAGCUGAGGCCAUGGGCACUUCCUGUGUGUCCAGCCCGGGGGCAGCCCAGAGUGCAGGUCCUGGAGAGCCAGAGCUGGUGGGCUUUCACCAUGCAGGCCAAGCUGGACCCAUGGUCAGAAAAUGUGUUUAGUAGGUUGGCAGCUGGCACUUUGAAAACAAGGAAGACAAAACUAGGGCGUUGCAGAUAGUGAGGGAAAUAACCCUUAGCUUGCAGAGUUUGCACCCACGUGUGUACUUAGACCUGGGCAUGGAAACACACACUGCUAAGCAUGCGUGUGAUGGUACUGGACACCCCUCUGUUCCCGUGCCAUUCCUGUCUCAUCACUGGCAGCCACAAGUGUGCUUGGAAUUAAGAUGCUGCUGGGCUUGAAGCCAGAGCCAGGGUGUGCUUCAUGCAGAAGUCUUUUCACCCUUGCCUGUUGCAUGCUGAGGUCUGCUGGCCAGCCCCUGGUGGGUGACCGGGAUUACUUGAGGGUGAGAUGUGGGUCCACAGGGAUGGCUUCUGCUGCCCGCUCUUCACCUUUUCCAGCCCAGAGCCCAAGGCCCUCCUGUCUGCAUCUGCCCCAGAGAAAUCCUGGGUGUUGAACACUGCCGCAGAGCACCUGGCAGGCCUUGCGCAGGCUCUGAACACUGCAGGCAUGCUCAGUCCCUUUCCAGUGGUGUAAGUAGCACCGUGCACUGAAGGAAAGCAGCCACCCACGUCCUGAAGGGAAUCUUCGAGAAGGCAGAUUUCAGGUUGAUUUUGCUGUUUGAAGUAUUCCAUGGUGGACGCUUGCCUGUCAUAAUGGUGUAGGUAGCAUCCCGAGCCAGAUUCGUGCGCACCACGGAGCCCCCUAGACCCUGGCCAUGUCACUGGGACAUGGCAACCCGAAGCAGCAUCUGGCAGGUCCAGGGGCCCCGGGGUGCAGCAAGGAGCAGCUGCUGCCCAAGUGGCCCCGUUCUCCGUGCGGGAGUGAGCAGCUCUGCCUCUGCUCACUUCUCAGGGCCCCGUGGGUUGUGCUUGGGCUUCCUCCCUCGCUCCUAGCUUGCCACCCUUGCACCCCUUCUGCUGCAUCAUAGAUCAUCCUGACCACGGGGGUGACUGCUGCUCUAGACAUCCUGCAGAUUCCUAGCGUAAGUUUGGUGUGACUCGAUGCAUUUUGAUUACUGUUACUAUGAUUUCCAGUGACAGUUGAAGUCCAGUGACACUCGGUUAAAAUGUGCGGGGUGGCCCAGUUGUGUAUACCCAGGGAGUAUGAAGACUAAAGGAACAAUUCGGACAAUUCACAGGCAGAAAAAAUAAUUCAGCAGCCACACCAAACAAACUCUACAAGAUUAACACACUGUAGGAAAUGUUAUUUAAUCAAGCUGAUUUCCUUAUAUUCAAAAA